RNAcentral lists this ribosomal RNA (253 nucleotides) under uncultured bacterium. RNAcentral's name for it is "partial 16S ribosomal RNA". It matches the Rfam family "Bacterial small subunit ribosomal RNA", at positions 524 to 776 of the family's 1533-position model. The record is from RNAcentral.
UACGUAGGGGGCUAGCGUUGUCCGGAAUCAUUGGGCGUAAAGAGCGUGUAGGCGGCCAGGUAAGUCCGGUGUGAAAACUCGAGGCUUAACCUCGAGAUGUCAUCGGAAACUAUUUGGCUAGAGUCCGGAAGAGGAGAGUGGAAUUCCUGGUGUAGCGGUGAAAUGCGCAGAUAUCAGGAGGAACACCAAUAGCGAAGGCAGCUCGCUGGGACGGUAUUGACGCUGAGGCGCGAAAGCGUGGGGAGCAAACAGG